GACGACGCUGGCGGCGUGGAUUAGGCAUGCAAGUCGAACGGUAUCAUCCUUUCGGGGGUGAGAGAGUGGCGAACUGGUGAGUAACACGUAGGUUAUCUACCCUCAAGACGGGGACAACCCAGGGGAAACUUGGGCUAAUACCGGAUGUGAGCAACUUUUAGUUGUUUGAAAGGUGGCGUAAGCUGUCGCUUGGGGAUGAGCCUGCGUCCUAUUAGUUAGUUGGUGAGGUAACGGCUCACCUAGGCAAUGAUAGGUAGGCGGCCUUAACGGGUGGUCGCCCACACUGGGAUUGAGAUACGGCCCAGACUCCUACGGGAGGCAGCAGUCGAGAAUAGUCUACAAUGGUCGGAAGACUGAUAGUGCGACGCCGCGUGAACGAUGAAUCCCUUCGGGGUGUAAACUCAUGAAGCUAACGAAUAAGACGGAAGGGGAACCUUCCGGGAGAAGGUAAUUAGUGAAAAGUCCCGGCUAACUACGUG
This 479-nucleotide ribosomal RNA is filed under the name uncultured bacterium. Its description in RNAcentral is "bacterial SSU rRNA". It matches the Rfam family "Bacterial small subunit ribosomal RNA", at positions 33 to 507 of the family's 1533-position model. The record is from RNAcentral.